GCGGUAAUACGGAGGGUGCAAGCGUUAAUCGGAAUUACUGGGCGUAAAGCGCACGCAGGCGGUUUGUCAAGUCGGAUGUGAAAUCCCCGGGCUCAACCUGGGAACUGCAUUCGAAACUGGCAAGCUAGAGUCUUGUAGAGGGGGGUAGAAUUCCAGGUGUAGCGGUGAAAUGCGUAGAGAUCUGGAGGAAUACCGGUGGCGAAGGCGGCCCCCUGGACAAAGACUGACGCUCAGGUGCGAAAGCGUGGGGAGCAAACAGGAUUA
RNAcentral lists this ribosomal RNA (264 nucleotides) under Buttiauxella gaviniae. Its description in RNAcentral is "partial 16S ribosomal RNA". It matches the Rfam family "Bacterial small subunit ribosomal RNA", at positions 517 to 780 of the family's 1533-position model. The record is from RNAcentral. Lineage: Bacteria; Pseudomonadati; Pseudomonadota; Gammaproteobacteria; Enterobacterales; Enterobacteriaceae.